RNAcentral lists this transfer RNA (75 nucleotides) under Caulifigura coniformis. RNAcentral describes it as "Planctomycetes bacterium Pan44 tRNA-Arg". It matches the Rfam family "tRNA". Rfam says of the family: Transfer RNA (tRNA) molecules are approximately 80 nucleotides in length. Lineage: Bacteria; Pseudomonadati; Planctomycetota; Planctomycetia; Planctomycetales; Planctomycetaceae. The record is from RNAcentral.
GCUCCCGUAGCUCAGGAGGAUAGAGCAACGGUUUUCUAAACCGUCGGUCGGGGGUUCGAAUCCCUCCGGGAGUGC